CUCCUCUCCCUCCUCAAUUCCCCUCCCCACCUUUUUUUCCCCCUUUUUGCUAUUUUGAAAAAAAAAAAAAGGUGGGGAGGGGAAUUGAGGAGGGAGAGGAG
This 101-nucleotide microRNA precursor is filed under the name Pelobates cultripes (western spadefoot toad). The record is from RNAcentral. Lineage: Eukaryota; Metazoa; Chordata; Amphibia; Anura; Pelobatidae.